Zea mays is the source of this 8785-nucleotide long non-coding RNA. RefSeq lists it as uncharacterized. The record is from RefSeq and is marked validated. The transcript has a single exon. NCBI's taxonomy places the organism in Eukaryota, Viridiplantae, Streptophyta, Magnoliopsida, Poales, Poaceae.
GUUUUCUCUCUUUGCGCCGCUGUUCAGGCGCCUCGCCUCUCCUAUCCUUGUCUUGCCCUGUGUCCCUUCGUCGCCUCGGCGCGCUCGCCCUUCGUUCAUCGGGCUUCCGCGCGCUCGCGUUUUUCAUUAUUCCUUCUCUGUACCCCGUUUCGAUUUCGAGCGGGGUCAGUUUCUUCUUCACCGGUUGAUUUGUUCUGCUGCUUUGCGUCUCCGUGCUCUCGCAGAUCCCUUGUAGCCGCUUUGCCUCCGCGCGACGCCGGGAGCGAGCCGAGUUUGGUUUGGCCGGGUUGUUCGGUUUGCGGUUUACUCUUUCUGCGAUUAUAGUUUUCUGGUGGAUCCUGUUUUGUUCUCGACUUCUCAGCGUGUGGGUUGCAGGAUUGGGUCCGAUUCGGUGUUGGGAUUUGUUCGUCAUGGCGUCUUGUGGCGAGGAGGUGCAGGCAGGUCAGUCUUCUGUCAGAUCCGGCGGUUCAUUGGUUUUGUCACUGGACAUGGAUUCGGUGGUUUCAGGCUCCAAUGUCUUCUGGUGUGGUACCAUCAGAAUCAGAUAGCGUCGUCGUAGUUUGCACACCAGGACCAGGUGAAUUCGAGACCUUGGGUCCAUUCUUAUUUUAACGGCUGAUCUCGCUUGUGGCCUUUCGGGUGUUCGUCCUAACUUCAGAAGUAGAAGGAAGGGUCCUUGCUGGUUAUGGAGAGAUUAGUUGAAGGGAAGGAGGUUUGCUUAUGAUUCAUUCCUUGUUUUUCCUUUUGAUAUCACCAUAUUGGCGUGAAGAUUGCCACCGGGCUCUAUAAGAUAGUUUACCCUCCAUUGGAAAUGCUGCUGACUGGAUCUGCAGAGGCAACAGAGUUCUGUAAGUAGAUUGAGGCGUUGACUGGACCGAAUUUCUUAGUAUCGGGAGAAGAUCGUUCGGAUAUUGGUUCGCUGCAAUUCUUAUUUUCUUAUAUUGGGGCUGGUAGUUUUCUCCAGCAAUUCGAUUAUAUGGAUGGAUGGGUCGGAGGCGUUUGUCACUAACCAUCCUCUCUCCUGUCUUGCUUCGAAAAUUGGCAUGAUAAGCUUGAUUACCCUUCAUUGGAAAUUCUGCUUGCUGGAUCUGCAGUGGCGAAGGAGUUUUGGAAGUAGAUGGAGGCGUUAACUGGACUGAUGUUCAUAGAUGGAUCCGCUUUUUCGGGAGAUUACUUUCUAUACUCUCCAUUUCGAUUUUGAGUCGGGUCGGUAUCUUCCCUUGUUGAUUAGUUCCGCUGCUUUGCGCCUCCGUGCUCGCAGAUACCUUGGGCUGUUUCGCCUCUGCGCGACGACGUGAGGCGGGAGCGUGACGAGUUUGGUUUGGCUGGGCUGUUCGGUUUGCGGUUUAGUCUUCCUGCGAUUCUAGUUUUCGUGUGGAUCCUGUUUCGUCCUCGACUUCUCAGUGUGUGGAUUGCAGGUUUGGGUACGAUCCGGUAUUGGGAAUUCGUCGUGGCGUCGGGUGGCGAGGAGUUGGGAGGCAGGUCAGUCUUCUGUCAGAUCCGGCGGUUCAUUGGUUUUGUCACUUGGAUAUGGAUUCGGUGGUUUCAGGCUCAAAUGUCUCCGGGUGUGGUACCAUCAGAAUCAGAUAGUGUCGUCGGAGCCUGCACAUCAGGUGGAUUCGAGAUCUUGGGUCCAUUCUUAUUUUAAUGGCUGAUCUUGCUUGUGGCCUUUUGGGUGUUCUUACUUUAGAAGCAGAAGGAAGGGUCCUUGCUGGUUAUGGAGAGAUUAGUUGAAUGUUGGAGGUUUGCUUAUGGUUCAUGGCCAUGGUUCAUUCCUCGUUUUUCAUUUUGAUGACAUCAUAUUGGUGUGAAGAUCGCCACUGGACUUGCUAUAAGCUUGUUUACCCUUCAUUGGAAAUGCUGUUGGCUGGAUCUGCAGGGGCAACAGAGCUUUGGAAGUAGAUUGAGGCGUUGGCUGGACUGAUGCCCAUAGUACCGGGUGAAGAUUGUCAGGAUAUAUCUACCCAAAUCGCUGUUCUAUUGGUUCAUACUCAUUUUUUGUCCGCUGCAGUUAUUAAUUUCUUAUAUUGGGGCUGGUUGUCCAUCUUAUUGGGAUAAGAUCGUUCAAAUAUAUCUACCCAAAUCGCUCUUCUAUUGGUUCAUACUCAUAUUUUGUCUGCUGCAACUAUUAAUUUCUUAUAUUGGGGCUGGUGGCUUUUUCCAGCAGUUCAGUUAUAUGGAUGGAUGGAUGAAUGGGUUGUAGGCGAGUUUGGUCCUGCUUAUGCUUGUGCAAUCAGGAGUUCGGAAUUGUUCAAGUUCCUUGUGUUUGUUCACUUACCCAUCCUCCCUCAUGCUGUUUUCCGAAAAUUGGCAUUGUAGCUAGAUUACACUUCAUUGGAGAUGCUGCAUGUUGGAUCUGCAGGGACAACAGAGUUUUGGAAGUAGAUUGGUGUGUUGACUGGACUGGCAUUCAUAUAUCGAGAGAAGAUUGUUCGGACACGAUCAUGUGGAUGGAUGGAUGGUGUUCAAGUGCCUUGCCUCUCCUGUCUUGCCCUUGCCUUGGGCCUUGGCGUGCUCGCAUUUUCCGUUACUUCCUUUUUUAUACUCUGUUUCGAUUUUGAGCCGGGACAUUAUCUUCUUCACCUGUUGAUUUGUUCUGUUGCUUUGCGCCUCCGUGCUCUCGCAGAUCCCUUUGGGCUGUUUCACCUCCGCACGACACCAGGAGUGAGCCGAGUUUGGUUUGGCCGGGUUAUUCAGUUUAUUCUUUAUUAUGCAAUUCUAGUUUUUGAGUCUAUUUUGUAGUCCUCGACUUCCCAAUGUGUGGGUUGCAGGAUUGGGUCCGAUCAGUGGAGAAUUCAUCAUGAUGACAUGUUGCGAGGAGAUGGAGGCAGGUCAGUCUUCUGUCAGAUCCGGCGGUUCAUUGAUUUUGUCGAUUGGACAUGGAUUGGUGGUUUCAGGCUCAAAUGUCUCCGGGUGUGGUACCACCAGAACCUUCGAUCCAUUCUUACUUUAACGGCAGAGAAGAAAGGGUCCUUGCUGGUUACAGGGAGAGGUUUGCUUAUGGUUCAUUCCUUGUUUUUGGUUUUGAUGUUGUCAUAUUGGUGUGAAGAUCGCCACCGGACUUACUAUAAGCUUCUUUACCCUUCAUUGGAAAUGCUGCUGGCUGGAUCUUCAGGGGCAACCGAGUUUUGGAAGUAGAUUGAGGCAUUGAUUGGACCGGUAUAUUGGGAGAAGAUCGUCGCGAUAUACAUACCUAAAUCACUUUUGUAUUGGUUCAUCUUCAGUUUUUGUCCGCUGCAAUUCUUAAUUUCUUAUAUUGGGGCUGGUGGUUUUUUCCAGCAAUAUUAUAUGGAUGAAUGGAUGGGUUGGAGGCGAGUUUGAUCGAUCUGGCUUACGCUUGUGCAAUCAGAAGUUCGGAAAUGUUCAGAGUUCCUUGUGUUUGUUCACUAACCACCCCCUCUCCUGUCAUUUUUCUUUGAAAAUUGGCAUUAUAAUCUUGAUUACCCUUCAUUGGAAAUGCUGCUUACCGGAUCUGUAAGGGCAAGAAGUAGAUUUGAGGCGUUGACUGGACUGAUGCCCAUAGUACCGGGUGAAGAUUGUCAGGAUAUAUCUACCUAAAUCGCUCUUCUAUUGGUUUAUACACAUUUCUGUCCGCUGCAAUUCUUAAAUGUUUUAAAUUGGGGCUGGUUGUUUUCUCCAGCAUCUCCUGCAAUCAGAAGUUCUGAACUGUUCAGAGUUCCUUGUUUGUUCACUAACCAUCCUUUGUCAAUCUUCUUUGAAAAUUAGCUUUCCUCAUAGGCUUCCAUUUGUUAGUAAAUCUGCGCACUUUUAGGAGACUCGGAGUUCGUCCUAGAUGCAAAAGUACCUGGCUGGUUAUGGAGAGGUCAGCUGAAGGCUGGAGGUUUGACUUUGUUUUUGAUAUGUCAAUCACUGGUGGGUGAAGAUUGCCACCGGAUUAAUUUGAAGCUUGAUCGCCCUUAAUUAGAAAAAUGUUAUUAGCUGGAUCAGGUGGUGUUUUGGAGGUAGAUUUAAACAUUUUGGAGGUGUUUUUGAAGUUUAUUGCAUCUGGAGAACAUCGUUUGGCUCUACCUCUCUUUUAUUGGUACUCUUAAAUUUCUUGUUCCUUACAUUUGGGAUGGUGAUUCUCUACUUGUACAGCAACUGGAUUGUAUGGACGGAGGAGCCUGAAUUAGAUUCUGUUUCUGCAUGAGCAAUAAGUUAUAAACUGUUCAGGAUUCCCUUGGUUUGCUGUCAAGGUUGUUCGAAACUUUUGCUGUCAAUGGUCUUAAAAAUUUACUUCCCUCGUAGGCUUUUGAUGUUCUGGUACUGGAUGUGCAGUUUUGGGAGGCAUUGCUACAGAGAUAUGACUUCCAGCUGAAAUUGUUGCCCAUUGAUACACGCUUUAUCCUGUUCCUAUGAUAUUUGAUGAAUGUUCAUGCUGUUUGUGUUCUCAGUUGUCACUAUCAAAUAGGUAGUUAUCCGAGGGUGGUCUCAUUGAUUGCAGAUCUCUAGGUGAUAACUGGGUAUGAAGGAACCAGUUUGCAUCUAUUCAGACCUACAACCUUCAACUUGCAUUGUGUUUGUUCAGUGUCUUGUACCUUGAAGUAGAUAAUGAUUAGGGUCAUUAUUGCAGGUCUUACUGAUAUUUUUUUUUGCUUGGGCUUGUCAUCGUGGAUUAUGUGUUGGAGGUACUAACUUAUUCUUGUAUAUGAACCAUGAUACUUGUGAGACUGCUUCGAACCUGUUACAUGGUGACUUGAGAGCUAUUGUACCAGCCCUGCUUCAAACUCGUGACAUGGUGACUUGAGACCUCUCUCGCAUUUGUACCAGGCCAGUCCUUUAUGAACCAGAAUACUACGUUAAUAUUCAGAUACUUCUAAUUUAAUCUGCAGUGGUAGAAGGUAAUGAUCAUGUUUUAACUUCAGAGAUUCAACUGGAGAUCGCUAGAACUACAGUACUACAACUUACAUUUAAUCAAGCUUGUUUCUGCUUUAUCAUGCUAUGCUCUGACUGAAGCAUUAAUUCUUGUGCUGCUGGUAUUCUGUGUUCUGCAGACCAUUUAGCUCAAAUAAUUGGUAGUUCAACUGUCAUAAUGUUCGGUUUGGGAUUUCUAUCUGUGGAUGCUUCGUCUGGCUUAUCUAUGCUUUUAGGUGCUUCAUCUGGCUUAUCUAUGUUUUUGCGCUCUCGCUGUUGCAUGUGUUGCAGGAUGUUGACAAUUGGAAAUCCAUGUAGCAAAUAAAUGAUUUUGGAACUGGGGGCAGGUCAGAGUCUAGAGCAUGUUAUGUUGGUUUUGUCACUUGUUUUUGGUGAUUUCAGAUCUGAAUGGCUGACAUUCUGUCUCUCCAUCGAUAUUUAAUAGUAAAGCAAGGUUUGAGACCUGGAUUUAUUGGGUACUGUAGACAUUGGAGGUGGAUUUUCCUCAAUUGGAGAUAUUGGCAAAUUGGAAAAAAUUGUGACUUGACCUGUGCUGCAAAAACCUUUAAACAAGGAGGCUUCUAAUUCAUCUCUAUGAACAGUCCUCUCCAGUUACUUUUUGAACCAGUAACUUUUUCAAGUUUGUGCAGAUGCACACAGAAGCUGAGAGAGAAUUUCCAACAAUUGUUGUCUCCAGAGUCCAUCCUUGUUCCACUGGCCAUUUGGUUCGCCUUGGAUUUGAAGGUUCAUUAAGUCUAUCUAUCCUUGAACCAAAAUAGAAAAAAAAUCAUAGAAGAGUUCUUUGGUAAAUAUAAAUUGUGCACUAAUAAUUUUGCAAGUUGCAUCUAUGGAUACCUUCACUUUUGGUAUCCAGAGAAAACCUGUGCAUUAAAUGUGAAGCUUGAUGACUUGGACUGACCUGUUGUUUGCAUGCUCUGCGGUAGUUAGAUGAUUCACAUGAUCACAACCACGGCGAUGCUGUGCAGAGUUUGCUCUAACUACUCUAACUAUUGACUGCACAUCACCUUCCGGCUCACUUGUUUGAGACACAUCUUAUAAUAUUCUUCAAUCUAACCAGAGCUCACCUAAUACUUCUGCUCAUAUCAGCCAUUUUUUUGGAUCCAGAUGUCUGAUAAGUUGAUGGAUGUUUGGUUGGAUUUCUGCAGUUGGAGCUAAGGUGUGGAUUGCUAGUUAGACAUUCUGAGUUCUAGACAUUUCCAUCUAUGGAGUCUUCCUUCCAGUGAUAAAUUAUUCUAUGCACUAACUUUAUUUUUAAGCUGUCUUUAACCUAUAUGCCAUCAUACGAUGGUGCAGGUUCACUAUUAUUCUUGAUUUAAGAUUUUUAAAACAAUUGGUUCCUAGUAGGAUGUUUUACCUGAGCGUAUGACCGUAUGUUCAUAUUUUAUAGUCCAAAAUUCUCGAUUUCUCUGUUAGGGCCCAUACUAAUGUUAGUCUAGUUCUUGGAUUGCUUCUGAUUGUACUUUGGUAUAACCCCCUUACUCAAUAUGGCCAUUCUUUAUCAAAUUCAUCAUAUUGCACAGUUCCUUUCAGUAAUAUAUUAGGCAUUAGAUAUUAUUAUCAGCAAAUGCUACUUGCUAACCGUAUUCCUUUUUGAGUUGUAAUAUGUGAAAUCUGAGAGAUCGAUCUUGUGGCACCGUUAGUUUUGUUGGUUAUCAUUAGAUUGAUUGCCUGGAACAAAUGGAACACCUCCUCAGUCUGGUUUGUGACGUUGGCCCCCUUGCCUUUUUAGAACAUUGUUCAUUUGUUCUGUAAUUUCCUCACUCUGGACUUUCCAUCUGACGCAUCUUAUCCUUUGUGGAACAAUAACCAAGAAAGAUUCUGCUGCUUCUGUUCCUGCCAAAAGUAAAUCUGUCUGAACAAACUUGUUUGGCUGAACUAUUGUUGCCCUUGAUUACAUAUGUGACUGUCUUGGGGAUGCAACUGUGGAGUCUUUGAGAUGGAACUGUCCUUUGUGGAACAAUAACCAAGAAAGAUUCUGCUUCUUCUGUUCCUGCCAAAAGUAUAUCUGUCACAAACUUGUUUGGCUGAACUAUUGUUGCCCUUGAAUACACAAGCCUAUGUGACUGUCUUGGGGAUGCAACUGUGGAGUCCUUGAGAUGAAACUGGAUUUACACAAAAGUAAAUCCUUUGUGGACUAGCAGUAGUUGCAUAUACAUGGAUGGGUUGAAGUUUAGCCAUCCUGGUUCAUAUUCAUGUAGUGCAGUUCAUAUUCAUGUUGAUAUGCAAUACAGGUUGGUGUUUGUUCAACUUGAAUGCAAGCUAGGAUCGGUUGCUUCUAUUUAUGUAACUCUGUAUUAUCUCCAGAUUAGUAUAUUCAUAUAUUCAUCUUGUUAUAUGGUGCACUAGGAUCUUGAACAAUAAUUUUAUUGGAGCUGGUUGUUGUGGCAAUGGAGCAUCUUCUACCUAGGCCAAAUGAGAUGGAGUCUGUGGCAUGUUUUGGUUUGAGUCCGGUCAUUCCAUGAUUUUUAUUGGAGCUGGUCUUGUGGCAAUUGAGCAUCUUGAGCCUAGGCCAAUCUAGAUGGAGGACUCCUAGUUUUAUUGGCGAAGAUGUUUUUGUGGAGUCCGAUCGUUCCAUGAUUUUUAUUGGAGCUGGUCUUUGGCAAUUGAUGAGCAUCUUCUUCCUUGGCCAAAUUGGAUGGACUCUAGUUUUGGUUUGAGUCCGACCAUAGAAUGAUUUUUAUUGGAGCUGGUUCUUGUGGCACUUGGGCAUCUUCUCCCUUGGCCAAAUAGGUGGACUCACUAAUUUUGUUGGACGAGAUUAACUGUGGAAGGUUUCGAUGUUUUACAAUUGGAACACAUUCACUGUUCAUUCCUGAGUAUUUAAACGCGAUACUUCAGAUACCUUCUCGUACUAGGUUUACUUAUUGAUCAUAAAAAAAUUCCUGUUUUUUUACGUAGCGUCUUUGUUGCUUCUCUGUUGUUUUACACAUGUGCUCUGCUGCUUUGUAUUUUACUGCUUCUUUGUUGUUUUACACAUGUGCUCUGCUUCUUUGUUAUUUUACACGUGUGCUCGAUGUUCAUCCAUAAAAUAUGCUAAAAGAAUAGCUACUUCGUUUGGCGCAAAAACCAGUUACGUGUUUUGUUUAUUUUUAUAAUGUCUGAGAACAUGAUUUUUUUUUUGUUGUAUUAUUUGUGUUCCCUGUUUGUUUGUUUGUUUGCGGUUUAACACUGCCUUUGCCGGUCCCAAGCCCGGAUGCGAAAAUGUGGAGGGAACUGCAGGUUGCUUGGCGAACCGUUCAGGUUUAGUGUUGAGACUUCCUUUUAAGACAUGCUGUGCCACUGAAUGAACGCAUCAUAAUGAACUUGGACAAUUGUCAGGCGCGCAGCAAGUUGCUUACCUGAACCCGUUUCAUCUAUUGAGAUGUGGGAAUUAAAGUUUGAGCCACAGGCACCGGCUGACAGACUUAUCAUGAAAGCGUCUUCGAAAUGGACACCUAACGCGCGUUAAUAUUGUUUAUCUUAAAUUAGCGUACCUCAACGUUAUCGUGGAGAUAAACCAGCAUAUCAAUAGCAGUAUCUAUCCAGCUCCUUUUUUUACGCUACCUGGACGUUUUUAGCUAAUUUUAUCAGACCUAGCAGUAAUCACAGAGCUGUCAAACAAAACUGUCAAACAGAGCAGAAAGAUGAAGUUUUCUGAAACUGAGGAAAUAACCAUACCCUAAAGUUCGCUGCUCGCAGCGUCGGCAUGGUGUGCUUCAUUGAUAAUGUGUGUUCAGACGGGAGAAGGAGAGAAAGCGUGGGGCACGUCACACGUAGGAGGGUGUGUUUGGUUUGGCUUUGGCUUUUGCCUCUCUAAAAGCCAAAAGCCAACCAAAGGGCUGGAUCCAGGAAGCAGCUUUUUCUAAAACCUGACUUUCUCGCAGUGUAAAUCUGAAAGCAUCCCUGGAUCUGCUUUUAGUGGCUUUUCGGA